UACGAAGGGGGCUAGCGUUGCUCGGAAUUACUGGGCGUAAAGCGCACGUAGGCGGGCUAUUAAGUCGGGGGUGAAAUCCUGGAGCUCAACUCCAGAACUGCCUUCGAAACUGAUAGCCUUGAGUUCGGGAGAGGUGAGUGGAACUGCGAGUGUAGAGGUGAAAUUCGUAGAUAUUCGCAAGAACACCAGUGGCGAAGGCGGCUCACUGGCCCGAUACUGACGCUGAGGUGCGAAAGCGUGGGGAGCAAACAGG
Molecule: ribosomal RNA, 253 nt
Filed under: uncultured bacterium
Lineage: Bacteria
Description: partial 16S ribosomal RNA
Rfam family: Bacterial small subunit ribosomal RNA
Source: RNAcentral